Non-coding RNA from Cryomyces minteri, 82 nucleotides. Lineage: Eukaryota; Fungi; Ascomycota; Dothideomycetes. The record is from the annotation of a GenBank genome assembly.
GCACUGAUAGUUUAGUGGUAGAAUUCACGCUUCCCAUAAAAUGAGACUGUGUGAGGCAGGAGUUCGAUUCCCCUUCAGUGCA